Molecule: ribosomal RNA, 409 nt
Filed under: uncultured Methanomicrobiales archaeon
Lineage: Archaea; Methanobacteriati; Methanobacteriota; Methanomicrobia; Methanomicrobiales
Description: bacterial SSU rRNA
Rfam family: Archaeal small subunit ribosomal RNA
Source: RNAcentral
CCAGAUAAGACAGCUGAAUGAUAGUCGGGCUGAAGACUCUACUUGACUAGCUGAGAGGAGGUGCAUGGCCGUCGUCAGUUCGUACUGUGAAGCAUCCUGUUAAGUCAGGCAACGAGCGAGACCCACGCCAACAGUUGCCAGCUCGUCCUCCGGGAUGGUGGGGACACUGUUGGGACCGCCUCUGCUAAAGAGGAGGAAGGAAUGGGCAACGGUAGGUCAGCAUGCCCCGAAUUAUCUGGGCUACACGCGGGCUACAAUGGGUGGGACAAUGGGUAUCGACACCGAAAGGUGAAGGCAAUCUCCUAAACCCAUCCGUAGUUCGGAUUGUGGGCUGCAACUCGCCCACAUGAAGCUGGAAUCUGUAGUAAUCGUGUCUCAAAAUGGCACGGUGAAUAUGUCCCUGCUCCUU